GUCUUUUUGAAAAUAAUAUAAAGUCUAAUCUGCCCACUGAUUAAAUAAUUAAAGGGCUGCAGUAUAUUGACUGUACAAAGGUAGCAUAAUCAUUAGUCAUUUAAUUGAUGACUUGUAUGAAGGAUUUGAUGAGAUAUAAACUGUCUCUUAUUUAAUUAUAAAAUUUAAUUUUUUUAUUAAAAAGUUAAAAUAUCUUAAAAAGACGAGAAGACCCUAUAGAGUUUAAUAAAUUAUUAGAUUGAGAUUAUAUGUAAAACAAAUUUAAAAUAAAAUUAUUUAUUUUGUUGGGGUGACAAAAAAAUACAUUAAACUUUUUUUUAUUUUAAAACAUUUAUAAGUGAUUAAAUGAUCCAAUAAUAUUGAUUAUGAGAAAAAAUUACCUUAGGGAUAACAGCGUAAUUUUUUUUUUUAGUUCAAAUAAGAAAAAGAGUUUGCGACCUCGAUGUUGGAUUAAGAUAAAAUUUAAAUGUAGAAGUU
This 477-nucleotide ribosomal RNA is filed under the name Acrapex albivena. RNAcentral describes it as "partial 16S large subunit ribosomal RNA". Lineage: Eukaryota; Metazoa; Arthropoda; Insecta; Lepidoptera; Noctuidae. The record is from RNAcentral.